GCCACACACCACGGUGCCUAGUGCUAGCCAGAGCAACUGCCCCAGCGUACUGGAGGCCUCAGCACAGACACAGCCCUGUGGAGGGUGGAGCUGUUUGGGGGGAGCCUGCACAAAGUGACUGGAGCUCUUCCUGGAGGCUGGGGCUGUUGAGGCCGCAGCAGCACCUGCAGGAGUUGUGCUCUGGGCAGGUCCCCGAGCUGCUGGGUGAGCAGGCUGUGUGGCAUCAGGAAAGGCCAACAGGAACCAAAGGUACUUUGUGGCCGUCGUAGAAGCAAGGACCCCCAGUCCCCCAAUGCAUGUAAGGAGGGGAGGAUCAGAGGUAAUGCUUAAGCAGGGGGAGGACUGAUUUGUGUGAGAUUAAACAAGAAAGCUUUUUCUCCAACUGCAGAUGUUUACUUGGAGAACUGUAGUGCCUUUGCAACAAGUUGGAGUGAGUUAUUGAGGGAUACACCUAGCCAUGACAUUGGAGCCACUGAUGCUAGAGAAAGUGACAGGUAGCAGUAGUCAGGGACUUGCUUCUGCAAAGGGUUUGACAGCACCCCCCUGCCAGUCGGAUCUGUUGUUUUGGGAAUUUUUCCCUGCCCCGUUCUAUCUCUAGUACAUUGUUGAGAGGCUGAGGCUGUCAGGCUACAACUUGUUUCUCACCUGUGCAGACCUGGAGACAUUGGAGGGGAUCUAGAGUGACUGCAGGACCUGGGUCUCAGCUGAAGGAUACGGGAGUGACUGGGCCUCAUCUCAAGUUCUCCUUCGUGAACAAAUGUGCAGCAAUAGACACAAGGAAUGGGAAGUCUGCAGUCACAAAGCUAUGACAUCGCAGCAUGACAGGAACAUGGUGGGGUUGCACUAUUGGAAUGCUACAAGGGAUGGACACAAGUUUGGCCAGCAGGAGGAAGCAGACAGAGCCACGACUGCUUUGCAUGAGGCCACAGAGACCGGCCACAGAGACCAGCCACAGGAAGCAGCUGCAGAUCGUGGUGAGGGCAUCCUGGCUAGUACCUCGGUGGUGACUCCUGGGAUGGGCGCGAAAGCUUCAGGGCAGUGAGAGCCCACUGGAGAUGAAUGAUGGACCAGUGAAAAUGUUGGUGUCUGCCAGCCCUGGUCAACGUGCUGUGAGGAAGCUGCAGUGAAACAGGAAGUGGUUAAUAUUAGCACACUUUCCCAAUUCUCAACGGUGGAGACAACCAAAACAUCCUGGGGAGGAGGGAGCAUGUACAGCCAGCAGUUGCCAGCUGUCCAGAGUGCAUUCUCACAGACACCCUUCCUUCAUUCCUUCAGUAAAGAAAAACAUGUCUCUACUGCGCAAAAUAUUGUGAAGAAAUGAGUAAGGUGGCUGGUUGGGCAUCUAAAGCAGUCUACCUUGGAGCAAGAUAAAUGGAUGCUAUGGGGGUUGUACUGUGUCUGGUACCUGAGCUAUCUGGCACAACUCUGCACCGAGUAAGGAACAUAUCCUCAGAGACCAGUUAAAAAGUCUUGGGCUUGCUGCAGGUGGGGAAGUUUCCUUGACAAGGCCAAGAACCAUAACCAAGUUUCUGUUUUUCCAACUCUAAGUUUGAAUCAAUGCCAAAAUGCCUACAUAACUGAAUCUGGCCUUUUCUGCUACCAGUGCCACCUGGCAAGAGAGUUACACAUGGAUAUUUGGGCUAAUGAUGUACCAUGCCUUACUAUCCAGUCUGUUGCUCCAUAAGAGCAUUCCAGCAGCUUUAGCUGUGCUUUAUGGUUCUCCAGCAUACCUGCCCUACAGUGCUAUCAGGUGCCUGCCUUAAUGCGAGCUAGGGUAUAUUUAUGGAAAAAAACACAUCAUCUCUAAGAAAUGAGGUGUAAGGACAUGCUUGCAUUGUCUGUGCAGCACAGAAUUAAUCAACAGCAGUAGCCAAUUUGCUGUUCCUGUGAAGAAACGAUCAGUAAUGUACCUCCUGUUACUUGAUGUUUUUUUUUUUCUUUCUUUGCCAGUUCUAUGAUCACAGUGGAAACAUAAGCUUUAUCAAAGCACUAACCGCUGGUAACUGCAUGCACAAGACCUAGAGAUCAGAUGAUAACAGCAG
This 2042-nucleotide long non-coding RNA is filed under the name Anser brachyrhynchus (Pink-footed goose). RNAcentral's name for it is "lncRNA (ENSABRG00000009281.1)". Lineage: Eukaryota; Metazoa; Chordata; Aves; Anseriformes; Anatidae. The record is from RNAcentral.